Trichonephila clavata is the source of this 73-nucleotide non-coding RNA. The record is from the annotation of a GenBank genome assembly. NCBI's taxonomy places the organism in Eukaryota, Metazoa, Arthropoda, Arachnida, Araneae, Nephilidae.
GUCCCUGUAGCGCAAUGGAUAGCGCGUUGGACUUCUAAUCAAAAGGUAGUGGUUUUGAAUAUCACCUGGGAUG